GGAUCGGUCACAACGAGAAAAACUUUCCUCGGUUGCUCAUCUCAAUAUACGAACAGCUUGCGCCAAAUCCGCGAAUACAUCCGGUGCUCAUCAGCGCUCGUCUCUUGUAGACAUUACUUGCGCAUCCCAUCUACAAAAGUCCUGCACUUCACAUAAUUAUGCCUCCGGAACCGAGUCCGGAACAAAUCAGCAUCCUUUUGCUGAAGGAAAUGAUUACAUACCUAGACCCUAUUUACAUACCAAUGAACCGGAUGGGAAAUAUGAAUCACUUUGCCCGCCGCGCAAUGAUACCGGUAAACGCAAACAUAUGCCAGUCAACGCUACUGUAACCGAGUCGGUUAGUUUACAAUUUGGAGCACCCUGCACACAAUACUCCGAUGGAGGCCAGUGUGUGUCUAUCACGGAACCUGAAUACGCAUCACGUAGUAUACGAACAGAGGGAUAUGUCUCGGAUCUGCAGCCGCGAGAAUCAUCCCAUACAUCACGCAAUAACACAGCCGGAUCGCAUCAGCAUUCUUUGACUCGGAAAAAUGAUUCCUGCAAGCCUGCGCCCAAGUCGCGAAUACCGCUACUCGUUUCAAACUUCUUUGAGUCUUCAAAUUCGGUGCAUUCUCACCGUUCGCGUUUCUCUCGAAA
Armigeres subalbatus is the source of this 636-nucleotide long non-coding RNA. RefSeq lists it as uncharacterized. Lineage: Eukaryota; Metazoa; Arthropoda; Insecta; Diptera; Culicidae. The record is from RefSeq and is a predicted model, not a curated record. The transcript has 3 exons.